Molecule: long non-coding RNA, 821 nt
Filed under: Chrysolophus pictus (golden pheasant)
Lineage: Eukaryota; Metazoa; Chordata; Aves; Galliformes; Phasianidae
Description: lncRNA (ENSCPIG00010005833.1)
Source: RNAcentral
UUGGAAACGACGCCUCGUUAGUAAUUAGCUAAUGAGCUGGCUGCGCUUCUGCAGAAGCUUUUCCAGCCGCUGCGUUUCUGCUUCUGUGCUGCACGCACAGCUGGUGGUGGUUCUUGGCAACUCACUUAUGGGGCUGGUGGACUCACUUAUGGGGCUGGAGGACCUGGGUGUGGGGCUGGAGGACCUCGGGGUGGGGCUGGAGGAUUCAUGGUGAUGUUGAACUUGGAUGUGGGGCAGAAGGAUUCACUUACGGGGCUGGAGGACUUGGAUGUACGUCUGGAGGACUGGGAAGUGGGGCUGGAGGACUUGGGGCUGGAGGACUCAUUUAGGGGGCUGGGGAACUGGGAUGUGGGGCUGGAGCACUGGGAUGUGGGGCUGGAGAACUCAUGGGGCUGGAGGACCUCGGUGUGGGGCUGGAGGACUCCUAGUGCUGGUGAACUCAGAUGUGGGGCUGGAGGACUUGGAUGUACGUCUGGAGGACUGGGAACUGGGGCGGGAGGAACUCGGAUGUGGGGCUGGAGGACUGGGAACUGGGGCUGGAGGACCUUGGUGUGGGGCUGGAGAACGGAGAUGUGGGGCUGGAGGACCUCGGGUGUGGGGCUGGAGGACUGGGAUGUGGGGCUGGAGGACUCACUUGUGGGGCUGGAGGACUCACUUAUGGGACAGGAGUUGGAUGUGCGGCUGGAGGACGUUGGUGUGGGGCUGGAGGACUCGCUUAUGGGGCUGGAGGACUGGAAUGUGGGGCUGGAGGACUGGCCUGAAAGAGGAGGCGGAGAGGCACUCAUCGAAGAGUGUGAGAAGGAGACACGAGGCUGGAGGAC